RNAcentral lists this long non-coding RNA (1642 nucleotides) under Vulpes vulpes (red fox). RNAcentral describes it as "lncRNA (ENSVVUG00000015249.1)". Lineage: Eukaryota; Metazoa; Chordata; Mammalia; Carnivora; Canidae. The record is from RNAcentral.
CCACAUCAGGCUCACUUGGCUGGAGACAUCCGCUAGUUAAAGAUGUUCUCCUGUUGCUUGCCGACUUCCCGGGGCUCUGGCUUCCAGAAACCCCAGGGAUGUGGCUUUUUCACUUGCUGUGGAUUUUGGUUCCGCCGUCACACCCCACGCCUCAGGGCAUUUGCCAGGAGGCGCCCUAAGGUAAUACUGAGCAGCCCAGGCCAGGCCAGGCCACCUGUGCCAGCCAUCCUGGGCAGCCCCAUCCCCUCCUCUUCAGUUUCAGGGAACCAGGGAUGUGUGAGCAGGUCCCAUCCAGGCUGGAGGAGGUUGCAGGGGCAGGUGUCCUGGUGAUCCCUCCAUGGUCACACUGAUGUCAUGGUGGGCAGGGUGGAAAGAGGAUUCCUGAGGUGCCUCUUACCCAUCCCAGAGUUAACCCAAGGUCCUAGAGCUGCAUCCCUUUUCUCUCCUUGGGGGAGGUGUGUGCUGACUGUGGUGUGGUGUGUCUGGAAUGGAGUCAUCUGGGUGUGAGGCCCAGCCAAGGCAGCCAGACCGGGCGCUGAGGCAUCCUGCCUGGCUGCCGGGCACUGUCUUUACAGAGAUCCAAACAGGAGAUGGGGCAGGAGUGGGAGGAAGAGAACCUCCGCUCCACCUCCUUGAGGAAGGGGAAAGUGCCCUGCAUAGAUAAGAGAGGCCAGCGCGGGCUCAAGGUGGAGCCAUCUGAAACCUUGGCCACCCUGGAAGAAGAGCAGGCCCGGGUGCACACUAUUGUGGUCCCCUACAUGCCGAAGCAACCACCAACCUCAGUCGAGCAACCAGCUUCGGCACUUGAGCAGCAUGCUGAACCACCUCAAGAGCCUGCCCAAUCUCCUACCGUGGGGUCAGCUGAAGCUUCUGGGCCUGAUCUGUUCAAGCCAGACACUGCUGUUGGAGCUGAGUGUUUUGCCCAAGUCGAGAUGCCAGGGGCUGAGUUGAAGCCAGUGCACAUGGUGGGCACACCUCUAAUUGACUGUCCCGAACUGGAGGAGCCACUUGCACCCUUGGCUGCCCCGGAUGAGGAGCAGUCCCCAGAGCCUGCAGUCAAGGUCCCUGAAGAGCUGGAGCAGCCACCUGUCUUAGUUCAGCAACCAGCUUCGGCCCCUGAGCAAAAUCAUGAACCACGUCAAGAGCCCGCCCCAGCUACCACUAUGGGGCCUGAUGAGCCAUCAGGGCCUGAGAUGCCUGGACCUGAGUGCUUGGCAGGAGCCGAGAUGGCACCUGCUGAUUCGAAGCCACUGCAGGUGUUGGUCACACCUGUGAUUCACUGUCCGGAGCUGGAGGAACCACCUGCACCCGUGGCCCCUCCCAAAGGUGAAGCAGGCCUUCAAGUUCUUCAAAGGGCCGGUGCAGCCACCUGCCUUAGCAGAGAAGCCGGCCUCGGCCGCCGAGCAGCAGCUCGUGAUGCCUGCAACCCAAUGGAAGUUUUCCCCUCCCCUCUCAUUGCACUGUUUCUAAUUUUUGUGGUUGCCAUAAACCUCUAUAAUUGGUUCAUGAGUUUUUUUUGUAAUAAACGUUAACUUUGUAUAAAAAUUUCCUCUGAUGCUUUUAAAUUAUACAUCGUGGUACUUUAGGUCCAUUCCCAGUGUCACCCAGGCGAGACCAGAAGGUACUUGGGCCACAUUUCCAC